GUAACACGUGAGCAACCUGCCCCUGACUCUGGGAUAAGCGCUGGAAACGGUGUCUAAUACUGGAUAUGAGCUACCACCGCAUGGUGAGUGGUUGGAAAGAUUUUUCGGUUGGGGAUGGGCUCGCGGCCUAUCAGCUUGUUGGUGAGGUAAUGGCUCACCAAGGCGUCGACGGGUAGCCGGCCUGAGAGGGUGACCGGCCACACUGGGACUGAGACACGGCCCAGACUCUACGGGAGGCAGCAGUGGGGAAUAUUGCACAAUGGGCGGAAGCCUGAUGCAGCAACGCCGCGUGAGGGACGACGGCCUUCGGGUUGUAAACCUCUUUUAGCAGGGAAGAAGCGAGAGUGACGGUACCUGCAGAAAAAGCGCCGGCUAACUACGUGCCAGCAGCCGCGGUAAUACGUAGGGCGCAAGCGUUAUCCGGAAUUAUUGGGCGUAAAGAGCUCGUAGGCGGUUUGUCGCGUCUGCUGUGAAAACCCGAGGCUCAACCUCGGGCCUGCAGUGGGUACGGGCAGACUAGAGUGCGGUAGGGGAGAUUGGAAUUCCUGGUGUAGCGGUGGAAUGCGCAGAUAUCAGGAGGAACACCGAUGGCGAAGGCAGAUCUCUGGGCCGUAACUGACGCUGAGGAGCGAAAGGGUGGGGAGCAAACAGGCUUAGAUACCCUGGUAGUCCACCCCGUAAACGUUGGGAACUAGUUGUGGGGUCCUUUCCACGGAUUCCGUGACGCAGCUAACGCAUUAAGUUCCCCGCCUGGGGAGUACGGCCGCAAGGCUAAAACUCAAAGGAAUUGACGGGGACCCGCACAAGCGGCGGAGCAUGCGGAUUAAUUCGAUGCAACGCGAAGAACCUUACCAAGGCUUGACAUACACGAGAACGCUGCAGAAAUGUAGAACUCUUUGGACACUCGUGAACAGGUGGUGCAUGGUUGUCGUCAGCUCGUGUCGUGAGAUGUUGGGUUAAGUCCCGCAACGAGCGCAACCCUCGUUCUAUGUUGCCAGCACGUAAUGGUGGGAACUCAUGGGAUACUGCCGGGGUCAACUCGGAGGAAGGUGGGGAUGACGUCAAAUCAUCAUGCCCCUUAUGUCUUGGGGCUUCACGCAUGCUACAAUGGCCGGUACAAAGGGCUGCAAUACCGUGAGGUGGAGCGAAUCCCAAAAAGCCGGUCCCAGUUCGGAUUGAGGUCUGCAACUCGACCUCAUGA
Molecule: ribosomal RNA, 1201 nt
Filed under: Microbacterium sp.
Lineage: Bacteria; Bacillati; Actinomycetota; Actinomycetes; Micrococcales; Microbacteriaceae
Description: bacterial SSU rRNA
Rfam family: Bacterial small subunit ribosomal RNA
Source: RNAcentral